GCAUGUGAUGAUAUUCUACUUGGAAUCUCGUUCGUCUGAACCCCACUGUUGAGAAGUGGAAUACUGAUGCUG
RNAcentral lists this small nucleolar RNA (72 nucleotides) under Atractosteus spatula (alligator gar). Its description in RNAcentral is "Small nucleolar RNA SNORD30". It matches the Rfam family "Small nucleolar RNA SNORD30". Rfam says of the family: U30 is a member of the C/D class of snoRNA which contain the C (UGAUGA) and D (CUGA) box motifs. U30 is encoded within the U22 snoRNA host gene (UHG) in mammals and is thought to act as a 2'-O-ribose methylation guide for ribosomal RNA. The record is from Rfam by way of RNAcentral. RNAcentral also lists the same sequence under 1 other name. Lineage: Eukaryota; Metazoa; Chordata; Actinopteri; Semionotiformes; Lepisosteidae.